This is a long non-coding RNA of Acromyrmex echinatior (Panamanian leafcutter ant), 423 nucleotides long. Lineage: Eukaryota; Metazoa; Arthropoda; Insecta; Hymenoptera; Formicidae. The record is from RefSeq and is a predicted model, not a curated record.
GAAAUAAGGAAGUUUUCGCGAUAGCGUGAAGAAAAACAUGACAAAGCGAUAUACCUGUAGCAUUAUGACGCACCAAUGAAUCGUUAAGGGUGGUCAAGGAAGCUGAGGAAAAAUCGAUAUACGCUACCCCUUCGUGGCAUGCACGCCAGCUACCAACAUACACAUAUAUUAUACACGCGAGGAAUUAGAGCCGGGCACUGAAAUUAUCCCUGUCGCCUGUCGUCCGCGAUAUCCUCGCUACGACCGGGUCGCUCCCACGACUGGGAAAGACACGAUGCGAAGCGUGAUAAACUUCUAACAAAACCAUUGUCGAAAAAAGGGAAAAAAAAACAAAACCAUUCAUUGUCCCAGACGAAUUGGAUCUCGUGGCUAUUGUUGUAUCGGGGCAUCGUGUCGAGCAUCUUUUGCUGAGCAAUCGACGCA